This 207-nucleotide ribosomal RNA is filed under the name uncultured bacterium. RNAcentral's name for it is "partial 16S ribosomal RNA". It matches the Rfam family "Bacterial small subunit ribosomal RNA", at positions 568 to 774 of the family's 1533-position model. The record is from RNAcentral.
CACGUAGGCGGCUUUUUAAGUCAGGGGUGAAAUCCCGGGGCUCAACCCCGGAACUGCCCUUGAAACUGGGAAGCUAGAAUCUUGGAGAGGCGAGUGGAAUUCCGAGUGUAGAGGUGAAAUUCGUAGAUAUUCGGAAGAACACCAGUGGCGAAGGCGACUCGCUGGACAAGUAUUGACGCUGAGGUGCGAAAGCGUGGGGAGCAAACA